Molecule: ribosomal RNA, 252 nt
Filed under: uncultured bacterium
Lineage: Bacteria
Description: partial 16S ribosomal RNA
Rfam family: Bacterial small subunit ribosomal RNA
Source: RNAcentral
GAUCUGGCUCAGGACGAACGCUGGCGGCGCGCCUAACACAUGCAAGUCGAACGAGCGAGAGAGAGUUUACUUUUUCGAGCGAGUGGCGAACGGGUGAGUAACGCGUGAGGAACCUGCCUCAAAGAGGGGGACAACAGUUGGAAACGACUGCUAAUACCGCAUAAGCCCACGACCCGGCAUCGGGUAGAGGGAAAAGGAGCAAUCCGCUUUGAGAUGGCCUCGCGUCCGAUUAGCUAGUUGGUGAGGUAACGG